RNAcentral lists this ribosomal RNA (253 nucleotides) under uncultured bacterium. RNAcentral's name for it is "partial 16S ribosomal RNA". It matches the Rfam family "Bacterial small subunit ribosomal RNA", at positions 524 to 776 of the family's 1533-position model. The record is from RNAcentral.
UACGUAGGGAGCAAGCGUUGUCCGGAAUCAUUGGGCGUAAAGCGCGCGUAGGUGGCCCCAUAAGUCCGCUGUGAAAGUCAAAGGCUCAACCUUUGAAAGCCGGUGGAUACUGUGGGACUAGAGUACGGAAGAGGCGAGUGGAAUUCCAGGUGUAGCGGUGAAAUGCGUAGAUAUCUGGAGGAACACCGGUGGCGAAGGCGGCAUCCUGGACCGAUAUUGACGCUGAGGAGCGAAAGCCGGGGGAGCAAACGGG